GAUGAACGCUGGCGGCGUGCUUAACACAUGCAAGUCGAACGGAAAGGCCCAAGCUUGCUUGGGUACUCGAGUGGCGAACGGGUGAGUAACACGUGGGUGAUCUGCCCUGCACUUCGGGAUAAGCCUGGGAAACUGGGUCUAAUACUGGAUAGGACCACUUCUUGGAUGGUGUGGUGGAAAGUUUUUUCGGUGUGGGAUGAGCUCGCGGCCUAUCAGCUUGUUGGUGGGGUAAUGGCCUACCAAGGGGUCGACGGGUAGCCGGCCUGAGAGGGUGUACGGCAUCAGUGGGACAGAGAUGCGGCCCACAGUCGUACGGGGGGCAGCAGUGGGGAAGAUUGCACAAUGGGCGCAAGCCUGAUGCGGCAAGGCGGCGUGGGGGAUGACGGCCUCCGGGGUGUAAGCUCCUGGCGCUGGGGACGAAGGGUUUUUGUGCCGGUGCCUGGUGAAGAAGCGCCGGCUAACUACGUG
This 468-nucleotide ribosomal RNA is filed under the name uncultured bacterium. RNAcentral's name for it is "partial 16S ribosomal RNA". It matches the Rfam family "Bacterial small subunit ribosomal RNA", at positions 28 to 507 of the family's 1533-position model. The record is from RNAcentral.